Molecule: long non-coding RNA, 288 nt
Organism: Homo sapiens (human)
Lineage: Eukaryota; Metazoa; Chordata; Mammalia; Primates; Hominidae
Exons: 2
Source: RefSeq, a predicted model, not a curated record
UGCCCUUUGGAAACAGAGAACAAAUGGAAGAUGUUUUCAUUUCCUUUGAGUCAAACCGGAAUGGUGACAAAAUAAACACACCAGUAAACCCUGGUCUAUCAGGAAAAAAGGAUUUCAACCUUGAGCCUAUAUAGAGACACAGAAAAUGGUGUUGACCAAAGCUGAGUCACCGUAACAGCCUCUCACUAGAGAAAAAGUCUCCAAAUUCCUGUCACUGAGGUCUUCAGAGCACCCUCAUACCUGAUACAGUCUUGGUUAUGUGGUACAAUAAACAGAGUACUUCAAUUC